AGAGUUUGAUCAUGGCUCAGAUUGAACGCUGGCGGUAGGCUUAACACAUGCAAGUCGAGCGAGAAAGUAUCUUCGGAUAUGAGUAUAGCGGCGGACGGGUGAGUAACGCGUAGGAAUCUACCUAGUAGAAGGGGAUAGCCCGGGGAAACUCGGAUUAAUACCGUAUACCUCCUUAGGGAGAAAGAGGGCCUCUCUUGAUGCUCUCGCUAUUAGAUGAGCCUGCGUAAGAUUAGCUUGUUGGUAAGGUAAUGGCUUACCAAGGCUACGAUCUUUAGCUGGUCUGAGAGGACGAUCAGCCACAUUGGGACUGAGACACGGCCCAGACUCCUACGGGAGGCAGCAGUGGGGAAUAUUGGACAAUGGGCGCAAGCCUGAUCCAGCCAUACCGCGUGUGUGAAGAAGGCCUUCGGGUUGUAAAGCACUUUAAGCAGGGAGAAAAAGUUAUAAGUUAAUACCUUAUAGCCGUGAUGUUACCUGCAGAAUAAGCACCGGCUAAUUCCGUGCCAGCAGCCGCGGUAAUACGGAAGGUGCAAGCGUUAAUCGGAAUUACUGGGCGUAAAGCGCGCGUAGGUGGUUUGUUAAGUUGGAUGUGAAAGCCCUGGGCUCAACCUAGGAACUGCAUCCAAAACUAACUCACUAGAGUACGAUAGAGGGAGGUAGAAUUCAUAGUGUAGCGGUGGAAUGCGUAGAUAUUAUGAAGAAUACCAGUGGCGAAGGCGGCCUCCUGGAUCUGUACUGACACUAAGGUGCGAAAGCGUGGGUAGCGAACAGGAUUAGAUACCCUGGUAGUCCACGCCGUAAACGAUGACAACUAGCUGUUGGAAGACAAUGUCUUUCAGUGGCGCAGCUAACGUUUUAAGUUGUCCGCCUGGGGAGUACGGCC
This 883-nucleotide ribosomal RNA is filed under the name uncultured bacterium. Its description in RNAcentral is "bacterial SSU rRNA". It matches the Rfam family "Bacterial small subunit ribosomal RNA", at positions 8 to 887 of the family's 1533-position model. The record is from RNAcentral.